GUCUACAGCCACGCUACUCUGAACAAGCCUGAUGUCUGAUCUCGGAAGCUAAGCAGGGUCAGGCCUGGUUAGUACUUGGAUGGGAGACCACCUAGGAAGACCAGGUGCUGUAGGCG
RNAcentral lists this ribosomal RNA (116 nucleotides) under Pteropus alecto (black flying fox). Lineage: Eukaryota; Metazoa; Chordata; Mammalia; Chiroptera; Pteropodidae. The record is from RNAcentral.